AGUACUUGAGCCAUAUCAUAGCCCAAAACUAUAUGUUAUCGGCUGGUUGGUCGAAAAUGACAUAAAUGUCUGAAUUAUGCAGGUAAAUGAAUUACAAUACAUAAAUCAUAUGAAUAAUAGCAUAAUGAAGUGAGAUAGAAAAAGAAUAAUAUCAUCCCAUGACCUAGUAAAGUCGGUACAAGACUAUCUAAUCAAAAGAAUAUAAGUAUUUACAAAGUCAAAUAUAAAACAGUCUCAAAAUCAAAA
This 246-nucleotide long non-coding RNA is filed under the name Capsicum annuum. RNAcentral's name for it is "long non-coding RNA (CANN_LNC001038)". The record is from RNAcentral. Lineage: Eukaryota; Viridiplantae; Streptophyta; Magnoliopsida; Solanales; Solanaceae.